Molecule: ribosomal RNA, 253 nt
Filed under: uncultured bacterium
Lineage: Bacteria
Description: partial 16S ribosomal RNA
Rfam family: Bacterial small subunit ribosomal RNA
Source: RNAcentral
UACGUAGGAUGCAAGCGUUGUCCGGAUUUAUUGGGCGUAAAGAGAACGUAGGUGGCUUGUUAAGUUCGGUCUUAAAGACCGGGGCUCAACCCCGGGAAUGGAUUGAAGACUGGCAGGCUAGAGGAUGUUAGAGGACGGUGGAAUUCCAAGUGUAGCGGUGAAAUGCGUAGAUAUUUGGAGGAACACCAGUGGCGAAAGCGGCCGUCUGGAACAUUCCUGACACUGAGGUUCGAAAGCUCGGGGAGCAAACAGG